Molecule: ribosomal RNA, 800 nt
Filed under: uncultured bacterium
Lineage: Bacteria
Description: bacterial SSU rRNA
Rfam family: Bacterial small subunit ribosomal RNA
Source: RNAcentral
UGCAUCUAGAUUGCGGAUCCGCGGCCGCAGAGGUUUGAUCCUGGCUCAGGUUGAACGCUAGCGGGAUGCCUUACACAUGCAAGUCGAACGGCAGCGGGAAGAAAGCUUGCUUUCUUUGCCGGCGAGUGGCGAACGGGUGAGUAAUGUAUCGGAACGUGCCCAGUAGCGGGGGAUAACUGGCCGAAAGGUCAGCUAAUACCGCAUACGCCCUACGGGGGAAAGGGGGGGACUCUUCGGAGCCUCUCACUAUUGGAGCGGCCGAUAUCGGAUUAGCUAGUUGGUGGGGCAAUGGCUCACCAAGGCAACGAUCCGUAGCCGGUUUGAGAGGACGACCAGCCACACUGGGACUGAGACACGGCCCAGACUCCUACGGGAGGCAGCAGUGGGGAAUUUUGGACAAUGGGGGGAACCCUGAUCCAGCCAUCCUGCGUGUGCGAUGGAGGCCUUCGGGUUGUAAAGCACUUUUGUCAGGGAAGAAAAGGUUCUGGCUAAUAUCCGGAACUGAUGACGGUACCUGAAGAAUAAGCACCGGCUAACUACGUGCCAGCAGCCGCGGUAAUACGUAGGGUGCAAGCGUUAAUCGGAAUUACUGGGCGUAAAGCGUGUGUAGCGGUUCGGAAAGAAAGAUGUGAAAUCCCAGGGCUCAACCUUGGAACUGCAUUUUUAACUGCCGAGCUAGAGUAUGUCAGAGGGGGGUAGAAUUCCACGUGUAGCAGUGAAAUGCGUAGAUAUGUGGAGGAAUACCGAUGGCGAAGCAGCCCCCUGGGAUAAUACUGACGCUCAGACACGAAAGCGUGGGG